RNAcentral lists this ribosomal RNA (250 nucleotides) under uncultured prokaryote. RNAcentral describes it as "partial 16S rRNA". It matches the Rfam family "Bacterial small subunit ribosomal RNA", at positions 525 to 775 of the family's 1533-position model. The record is from RNAcentral.
ACGGGGGGGGCAAGCGUUAUCCGGAAUUAUUGGGCUUAAAGGGUGCGUAGGUGGGUUUUUAAGCGUGAGGUGAAAGGCAAUAGCUUAACUAUUGUAAGCCUUGCGAACUGGAAGACUUGAGUGCAGGAGAGGAAAGCGGAAUUCCUAGUGUAGCGGUGAAAUGCGUAGAUAUUACAAGGAACACCAAUGGCGAAGGCAACUUGCUGGACUGUAACUGACACUGAGGCACGAAAGCGUGGGUAGCAAACAG